GGGCGUGUGGCUCAGUUGGUAGAGCGUUCGCUUAGCAUGGUUGCGAUGUCAAAGUCAAGAUCCUCUUCUGCGAAAGGUCCUGGGUUCGAUUCCCAGCUCGUCCA
Molecule: non-coding RNA, 104 nt
Organism: Staphylotrichum tortipilum
Lineage: Eukaryota; Fungi; Ascomycota; Sordariomycetes; Sordariales; Chaetomiaceae
Source: the annotation of a GenBank genome assembly